Molecule: non-coding RNA, 901 nt
Organism: Ictidomys tridecemlineatus (thirteen-lined ground squirrel)
Lineage: Eukaryota; Metazoa; Chordata; Mammalia; Rodentia; Sciuridae
Source: RefSeq, a predicted model, not a curated record
UUCCUGAGAAAGAAGUAUUGGGUCAUUGCUGGCUCCUGACAACUACACACAGAUGGCCAAGGAGACCAGAGCUGAGACAGGACAGGCCACUGCUAAGGAAAAUAUUUUCACCCACCAGUCAGAGGACAGAGUGGAUAGAUGCAGACCAAAUACAGGGGUGGUUUGUGUGUCUUAGUGGAUGGGCAACACCUACCAAGAUCCUAAGUUCCUGUAUUCUUCCUGAAUUUUGGCCGCUCUCUGAAGUGGUUUGUGGUUUUGUGUCCAAGAUGUGUACCACCAUCAAGCUUUGUGAAAUGGCCAUGGACUGGAUUGCUGAAGGGAAUGCCAAGCAUCUCAGAAAAGUCAAAAAUUUGCAUGACUGAUGGGCAACACCUACCAAGAUCCUAAGUUCCUGUAUUCUUCUUUAAUUUUGGCUGCUCUCUGAAGGGUUUCCUGGUUUUGUGUCCAAGAUGUGUACCACCAUCAAGCUUUGUGACAUGGCCAUGGACUGGAUUGCUGAAGGGAAUGCCAAGCAUCUCAGAAAAGUCAAAAAUUAGCAUGACUGGUAAGGAUCUCUCUGGAGAAUCCCUGCUUGGAUAGAUAGUACCCAAGUUGCAUGAUUAGGAACUGUCAGUGCCACAGUGUUCAAUUAAAGAAAAGUAUUUCUCCAGGCUUCUUUCCUCCCCAUUGUUCUGUUCCCCUGAAUGUCAGGGAGGUGUUUGCCUUCAGGCCCUUUUUUGGGAAUCCUCCAGAAAACAGUUUCAAAUGGAAAUGAAGAGGCCUUAUCUGUGCCUUUUAGGUAAAGUGCUUUGUAAAAGCUGUGUCUGAAUCAGACUCUUGGCCCUGUGUGUGGCUGUGAAGUAUAUUCUAAGCACCCAAGGAAAGUUAAGAAAAAUCCCAUGUGUCCAUCCAAAUCUAAAAG